Long non-coding RNA from Mustela lutreola (European mink), 508 nucleotides. RefSeq lists it as uncharacterized. The transcript has 2 exons. NCBI's taxonomy places the organism in Eukaryota, Metazoa, Chordata, Mammalia, Carnivora, Mustelidae. The record is from RefSeq and is a predicted model, not a curated record.
AUUGAGAAAACAUUUACAAGACGCCCUUCCCUUUCUUGGGACAACAUACAGAUUACCAAGUAAACAGUAACUCAUUUUGGAGUUGGCAUUUUAAAAACAACCACCGAGGAUGCAAACCAUCAAUGUAGUGAACACUCUUCAAGAAGUACAAACCCAAACGGGUCCUACUAAGAGGACCAGGGAAGGCAUUGAGCAGUGCCUGAAGCUUUACCUGUUAACUCACGCCAAGGGACCCAGUGGGCAAAACAUCCAGUGAUGGGAACCGAAACUACCCCCUCUAGCAAUAAGGGCUGCCCUCACACCAGCAAGACACUGCGUGACUGACCCCAAGACAAUAAUCAACCUGACCUUUUGCUGCUCUGCUGCAGAGUACCCACCAAUCUUUGUUGUGAUUUCCCUAUAUAAACUUAGACAUAUUCUCAGCACCUUGGAGACAGUUCUUAGGCCAUUAGCCCAUGGUAUUCCUGGUACUGGCUUCACUGAAAUAAAUUCCUUUCUUGUUUCACCA